Molecule: long non-coding RNA, 738 nt
Filed under: Anser brachyrhynchus (Pink-footed goose)
Lineage: Eukaryota; Metazoa; Chordata; Aves; Anseriformes; Anatidae
Description: lncRNA (ENSABRG00000002244.1)
Source: RNAcentral
CCUGUGUGUCUUUUCACAGCUGCAGCUUGGCACUGUAUCCUCUCCUCUGAGUCCAAGCCCAUUGUGCUGGAGAAAAGGGAGCACCGCUCCAUGUAGCUCACAGCUGUGCUGUUCCUACUAAGUGUAUAUCCAUGGAGAGGCCAUUUAAAUUUGAGGAAACACACCUAAAUCCCCGAGUCUUCUUUCGCAACUAUCAACUCUAAUCUGAUCUCUAAUUUAUUUUUGUUCAUCCCUAAUUGUUUUUCCCCACCCUGUUAACUUAUUGUUUAUAUUUGUUUAUUUUGGCAGUGUUCUGAGGCCAGAAUUGAGAGUUUUGUUUCUCUACUGUGUAACAUAAAUGUAUGCUAUAUACAUGAGUACAUAUACCAGCUCAAUUGUGUUUAUUAUUUUUCUCUCCCUAACCAGAGUAACACUGUGAUCUCCUUGGUAUCUUUCUGAGCUGAAUAUACUAGGAAAGAAUGACCAAACGUUCAUGUCUAUAGCGCACUACUUUCUGACUAUUACUAGAGGCACGAGAGCUGCAGAGAUGUUUCCUGGUUUGCUUGAUGCUGUUCCUGUCGCUCUUUUUCUUCCACUUCUGAAGACGUCGAGGCCAAAUGCAAGAAGAGGGUUGUAACCCUGGGGAGACGUGUACUGCUGUGCAGAGUCACAUAAGAGAACUGUCUGGCACCACAUGGAAACAGAGGUUUGAUAUUUUUUUCCUCAAUACCCAUAUUGUUAGCUGGAGUCCAAAUGCAG